Non-coding RNA from Paramuricea clavata, 242 nucleotides. The record is from the annotation of a GenBank genome assembly. NCBI's taxonomy places the organism in Eukaryota, Metazoa, Cnidaria, Anthozoa, Malacalcyonacea, Plexauridae.
GUGAGCCAGUUGGAGUUCGAUUACCGCUCUUUCAGUUCAGUUCCAUUGAGAUGGACUGUUGUGAACUGGCAAGGUUUAUACGCGUUGAAACGUAUAUAUGGCUGAGAAGAGCGAAAUUAGGCUAGAAUGCCGGCUUUCUGCACUCGAUGUCGAAGAAGACACCGAGACAGAUGUGCUAGACGAUCCAUCGCCUUACGAGAGCGACACUGAAGAAGUAGAUAUUGACAGUUUUGUCAAGAGUA